This 297-nucleotide long non-coding RNA is filed under the name Homo sapiens (human). RNAcentral's name for it is "HSALNT0031727". The record is from RNAcentral. Lineage: Eukaryota; Metazoa; Chordata; Mammalia; Primates; Hominidae.
CACACAUUUACCUUUCAGAAUGAAUAUUUUGGAGGCAAUAGUGAAGGUGGGUUAGAAAGGAGGAAAGACUGGAGAGAGAUAAGGAGUUAGAUUCGGAACCCCUACAAGAGAAAAUUAAGGUCUGAAUUUGGGGAUGGGGUCGCAGAGGGCAGAGGAUGAAGAAAUAAAUACAGAAGACAUUAGAAAGGACUCUGGUUUGUGGAGUGGAGAAAGGACAGGGAGAACUUGCUUCUAAUUGGCCUCCUUGCCGGAAGAAGCACCCCAUACAUACUCCAAAAACUUCCUCUCAGAUCCAAG